CCCGAAAUUUCGUAUUGGGGUGAUUCAACGUCAGCGGCGUCGGCUUCGCCAUGGUCCGCGAUGCUGGGACCCCGAGUUCGCGGCACGCGGCCGUGGGAUGCCCGUCAUCGACGACGUGCACUUCUCCCCUUGCAGGACGUCGCGACCCGUCGGGCGUCGGUCUACGGCCCGUAUCGGUAGCCUGUCCUCGGCGUUCGCGCGCCGGGGGCAGACCGUCGGUUGCCCGGCCGGCUGCUCGGCGGUACACGUACGGUAUCUAGCCGCAUCGAAUUGCGUCCAGCCCGUCGCAAGCGAGACCAGCGUUCACCGGUGGUCGGACCCCGCGCCGGCCCCGGAACUGGUCCGCUGUUCGCUGUCGGUGCCCUCGGACGGGCUAUAACAAUUACCGGUCGGCGACGCUAUUGCUUCGGGUACUUUCA
Molecule: ribosomal RNA, 419 nt
Filed under: Arge cyanocrocea
Lineage: Eukaryota; Metazoa; Arthropoda; Insecta; Hymenoptera; Argidae
Description: eukaryotic LSU rRNA
Source: RNAcentral